This 236-nucleotide ribosomal RNA is filed under the name uncultured bacterium. RNAcentral describes it as "partial 16S ribosomal RNA". It matches the Rfam family "Bacterial small subunit ribosomal RNA", at positions 15 to 244 of the family's 1533-position model. The record is from RNAcentral.
GAUCAUGGCUCAGGACGAACGCUGGCGGCGCGCCUAACACAUGCAAGUCGAACGAGCGAGAGAGAGCUUGCUUUCUCGAGCGAGUGGCGAACGGGUGAGUAACGCGUGAGGAACCUGCCUCAAAGAGGGGGACAACAGGUUGGAGACGACUGCUAAUACCGCAUAAGCCCACGGGUCGGCAUCGACCAGAGGGAAAAGGAGCAAUCCGCUUUGAGAUGGGCCUCGCGUCCGAUUAG